AUUGAACGCUGGCGGCAGGCCUAACACAUGCAAGUCGAACGAGUGGCGGACGGGUGAGUAAUGUCUGGGAAACUGCCUGAUGGAGGGGGAUAACUACCGGAAACGGUAGCUAAUACCGCAUACCAUCAGAUGGGCCCAGAUGGGAUUAGCUAGUUGGUGGGGUAACGGCUCACCAAGGCGACGAUCCCUAGCUGGUCUGAGAGGAUGACCGACCACACUGGGACUGGGCCACGGGCCAGACUCCUACGGGAGGCAACAGUGGGGAAUAUUGCCCAAUGGGCGCAAGCCUGAUGCAGCCCUGCCGGGUGUAUGAAGAAGGCCUUCGGGUUGUAAAGUACUUUCAGCGGGGGGGCGUUACCCGCAGAAGAAGCACCGGCUAACUCCGUGCCAGCAGCCGCGGUAAUUC
RNAcentral lists this ribosomal RNA (406 nucleotides) under uncultured bacterium. RNAcentral's name for it is "partial 16S ribosomal RNA". It matches the Rfam family "Bacterial small subunit ribosomal RNA", at positions 30 to 526 of the family's 1533-position model. The record is from RNAcentral.